GUAGUUUUGAAUCCUGCUCAGGACGAACGCUGGCGGCGUGCCUAAUACAUGCAAGUCGAACGCCUCUUUUCCCACCGGAGCUUGCUCCAUCCGGGAAAAGAGGAGUGGCGAACGGGUGAGUAACACGUGGGUAACCUGCCCAUCAGAAGGGGAUAACACUUGGAAACAGGUGCUAAUACCGUAUAACAAUCGAAACCGCAUGGUUUCGUUUUGAAAGGCGCUUUACGGUGCCGCUGAUGGAUGGACCCGCGGUGCAUUAGCUAGUUGGUGAGGUAACGGCUCACCAAGGCCACGAUGCAUAGCCGACCUGAGAGGGUGAUCGGCCACAUUGGGACUGAGACACGGCCCAAACUCCUACGGGAGGCAGCAGUAGGGAAUCUUCGGCAAUGGACGAAAGUCUGACCGAGCAACGCCGCGUGAGUGAAGAAGGUUUUCGGAUCGUAAAACUCUGUUGUUAGAGAAGAACAAGGGUGAGAGUAACUGUUCACCCCUUGACGGUAUCUAACCAGAAAGCCACGGCUAACUACGUGCCAGCAGCCGCGGUAAUACGUAGGUGGCAAGCGUUGUCCGGAUUUAUUGGGCGUAAAGCGAGCGCAGGCGGUUUCUUAAGUCUGAUGUGAAAGCCCCCGGCUCAACCGGGGAGGGUCAUUGGAAACUGGGAGACUUGAGUGCAGAAGAGGAGAGUGGAAUUCCAUGUGUAGCGGUGAAAUGCGUAGAUAUAUGGAGGAACACCAGUGGCGAAGGCGGCUCUCUGGUCUGUAACUGACGCUGAGGCUCGAAAGCGUGGGGAGCAAACAGGAUUAGAUACCCUGGUAGUCCACGCCGUAAACGAUGAGUGCUAAGUGUUGGAGGGGUUUCCGCCCUUCAGUGCUGCAGCUAACGCAUUAAGCACUCCGCCUGGGGAGUACGACCGCAAGGUUGAAACUCAAAGGAAUUGACGGGGGCCCGCACAAGCGGUGGAGCAUGUGGUUUAAUUCGAAGCAACGCGAAGAACCUUACCAGGUCUUGACAUCCUUUGACCACUCUAGAGAUAGAGCUUCCCCUUCGGGGGCAAAGUGACAGGUGGUGCAUGGUUGUCGUCAGCUCGUGUCGUGAGAUGUUGGGUUAAGUCCCGCAACGAGCGCAACCCUUAUUGUUAGUUGCCAUCAUUUAGUUGGGCACUCUAGCAAGACUGCCGGUGACAAACCGGAGGAAGGUGGGGAUGACGUCAAAUCAUCAUGCCCCUUAUGACCUGGGCUACACACGUGCUACAAUGGGAAGUACAACGAGUCGCGAAGUCGCGAGGCUAAGCUAAUCUCUUAAAGCUUCUCUCAGUUCGGAUUGUAGGCUGCAACUCGCCUACAUGAAGCCGGAAUCGCUAGUAAUCGCGGAUCAGCACGCCGCGGUGAAUACGUUCCCGGGCCUUGUACACACCGCCCGUCACACCACGAGAGUUUGUAACACCCGAAGUCGGUGAGGUAACCUUUUUGGAGCCAGCCGCCUAAGGUGGGAUAGAUGAUUGGGGUGAAGUCGUAACAAGGU
Molecule: ribosomal RNA, 1521 nt
Filed under: Enterococcus mundtii
Lineage: Bacteria; Bacillati; Bacillota; Bacilli; Lactobacillales; Enterococcaceae
Description: bacterial SSU rRNA
Rfam family: Bacterial small subunit ribosomal RNA
Source: RNAcentral